Long non-coding RNA from Mya arenaria, 547 nucleotides. RefSeq lists it as uncharacterized. The record is from RefSeq and is a predicted model, not a curated record. NCBI's taxonomy places the organism in Eukaryota, Metazoa, Mollusca, Bivalvia, Myida, Myidae. The transcript has 3 exons.
CAAUAAGCUCCAGUUAGCUGCGGCCUUUUCCCCAGGCGGUAGUCCUGCAAUCUGAAUCCAGGAGAUGCAGCUCUGAAUCCAAUAUUUCAGAAGAAUGAAGAUGGUCAAGACAGAUUUUACCCAACUGAGGCCGCAGGAAACUGUUUAAAGUAAGCCGGAAGAAGCUGUUGAGAUCUGCAUAAUACUUUCAAGAACCAUGCAAUUGAUGGAUCCGUUUCAAAUGUUCAAGCCACGAUCAGUGUUACCGGUACGCAAACAUCACCGAAAGGACGAGUCCAAAAACUCUCACCUGAUUCGUUAAGUAGGCAAUAAACCCAAGACAUCAAAAAUACCUUUGUUUUAUCUCAUUUUAUUAAUGCAGUUCAUUCUUGAUACGCAAAACUGAAACAUUAAAAUACAAUGUGUACUCAAUAAAAGUGAUGUCAUAUUGACUCAUCGUGAACAAUACAAAUUAUGAAAGUUAAACCGCUGACUAAGCAAGGCACAAAUGGUUCAUUAUAAUCAUCAUAAAAGAAACAAAUCAUUAAAACAUCUUUGAAAUGCAUAG